This 736-nucleotide unclassified non-coding RNA is filed under the name uncultured Pleosporales. RNAcentral describes it as "sequence contains 5.8S rRNA gene, ITS2, 28S rRNA gene". The stretch from base 317 to 736 matches the Rfam family "Eukaryotic large subunit ribosomal RNA", at positions 1 to 418 of the family's 3401-position model. The record is from RNAcentral. Lineage: Eukaryota; Fungi; Ascomycota; Dothideomycetes; Pleosporales.
AACUUUCAACAAUGGAUCUCUUGGUUCUGGCAUCGAUGAAGAACGCAGCGAAAUGCGAUAAGUAGUGUGAAUUGCAGAAUUCAGUGAAUCAUCGAAUCUUUGAACGCACAUUGCGCCCCUUGGUAUUCCAUGGGGCAUGCCUGUUCGAGCGUCAUUUCAACCCUCAAGCUCUGCUUGGUGUUGGGCGUUUGUCCCGCCAUCGCGCGCGGACUCGCCUCAAAUGCAUUGGCAGCCAGCGCUCUUUUCCGCCUCCGCCCGCAGCACAUUGCACGAGGAGGAGCGGGGAGUGCGGCGUCCACAAGACCUUUUAUCGUCUUGACCUCGGAUCAGGUAGGGAUACCCGCUGAACUUAAGCAUAUCAAUAAGCGGAGGAAAAGAAACCAACAGGGAUUGCCCUAGUAACGGCGAGUGAAGCGGCAACAGCUCAAAUUUGAAAUCUGGCCUCUUCGGGGCCCGAGUUGUAAUUUGCAGAGGGUGCUUUGGCGUUGGCGGCGGUCUAAGUUCCUUGGAACAGGACAUCACAGAGGGUGAGAAUCCCGUACGUGGUCGCCCGCCUUCGCCGUGUAAAGCCCCUUCGACGAGUCGAGUUGUUUGGGAAUGCAGCUCUAAAUGGGAGGUAAAUUUCUUCUAAAGCUAAAUACUGGCCAGAGACCGAUAGCGCACAAGUAGAGUGAUCGAAAGAUGAAAAGCACUUUGGAAAGAGAGUCAAAAAGCACGUGAAAUUGUUGAAAGGGAA